AGAGUUUGAUCAUGGCUCAGAUUGAACGCUGGCGGCAGGCUUAAGACAUGCAAGUCGAGCGGAAACGAUGGGAGCUUGCUCCCAGGCGUCGAGCGGCGGACGGGUGAGUAACGCGUAGGAAUCUGCCCAGUAGAGGGGGAUAGCCCGGGGAAACUCGGAUUAAUACCGCAUACGCCCUACGGGGGAAAGGCCGGGAUCUUCGGACCGGUCACUAUUGGAUGAGCCUGCGUAAGAUUAGCUUGUUGGUGGGGUAAAGGCCUACCAAGGCGACGAUCUUUAGCUGGUCUGAGAGGAUGAUCAGUCACACUGGAACUGAGACACGGUCCAGACUCCUACGGGAGGCAGCAGUCGGGAAUAUUGGACAAUGGGGGCAACCCUGAUCCAGCCAUGCCGCGUGUGUGAAGAAGGCCUUAGGGUUGUAAAGCACUUUCAGUAGUGAGGAAGGGUGCAAGGUUAAUAGCCUUUGUACAUUGACGUUAACUACAGAAGCAGCACCGGCUAACUCCGUGCCAGCAGCCGCGGUAAUACGGAGGGUGCAAGCGUUAAUCGGAAUUACUGGGCGUAAAGCGCGCGUAGGCGGUUCGUUAAGUGUGAUGUGAAAGCCCAGGGCUCAACCUUGGAACUGCAUUACAUACUGACAGACUAGAGUACGGUAGAGGGAGGUAGAAUUCCACGUGUAGCGGUGAAAUGCGUAGAGAUGUGGAGGAUACCAGUGGCGAAGCGCCUCCUGGAUCGAUACUGACGCUGAGUGCGAAAGCGUGGGGAGCAAACAGGAUUAGAUACCUGGUAGUCACGCUGUAAACGAUGUCAACUAGCCGUUGGGGGGGUAAUCCCUUUAGUGGCGCAGCUAACGCGAUAAGUUGACCGCCUGGGGAGUACGGUCGCAAGAUUAAAACUCAAAUGAAUUGACGGGGGCCCGCACAAGCGGUGGAGCAUGUGGUUUAAUUCGACGCAACGCGAAGAACCUUACCUGGUCUUGACAUCCUACGAACUUUCCAGAGAUGGAUUGGUGCCUUCGGGAACGUAGUGACAGGUGCUGCAUGGCUGUCGUCAGCUCGUGUCGUGAGAUGUUGGGUUAAGUCCCGUAACGAGCGCAACCCUUGUCCUUAUUUGCCAUCACUAAGCUGGGCACUCUAGGGAGACUGCCGGUGACAAACCGGAGGAAGGUGGGGACGACGUCAAGUCAUCAUGGCCCUUACGACCAGGGCUACACACGUGCUACAAUGGAGCGUACAAAGGGUUGCAACCCCGCGAGGGUGAGCUAAUCCCAUAAAACGUUUCGUAGUCCGGAUCGCAGUCUGCAACUCGACUGCGUGAAGUCGGAAUCGCUAGUAAUCGUGGAUCAGAAUGCCACGGUGAAUACGUUCCCGGGCCUUGUACACACCGCCCGUCACACCAUGGGAGUGGGUUGCAAAAGAAGUGGGUAGCAUAACCUUCGGGAGUGCGCUCACCACUUUGUGAUUCAUGACUGGGGUGAAGUCGUAACAAGGUAUCCGUA
This 1498-nucleotide ribosomal RNA is filed under the name uncultured bacterium. RNAcentral describes it as "bacterial SSU rRNA". It matches the Rfam family "Bacterial small subunit ribosomal RNA". The record is from RNAcentral.